GGUGUUUGUCUUCCCAAGUAACCGUCACACAUGAUGGAGCCCUGCUUUCCUGGAGAAGGCUGAACAACUGACUGCCGUUGGGAAGUGCUUCCUCUUCUGUGUUGCCUACACAAGGGCUGAGAGGGUUUUAUUCUACACUGAGUGAAAACCAGAUUAAGGUUGGCUGUUUAAUGCAAUGUUACUCAUACUUCAAAGGGAUGAAGACAGAGAUGAAGUUUUACUGUCUUGAUGGCUUAACCUGUCUGUCAUAUAAAGCCAGCACUUCAUUUUCUGAGUCAUUCUUUCAUGGAGGGAGUCUGCUUUACAUAUCAGGCCUCAGGGUGUGGUGUGGGAAGUACACUGUGGAUUAUUUUCCUGCUAUUGCUGGAGGCUGUUUGUUUGCUGCCUAUUGAAGUAUGUAACAGAGAGGCAAGAAGAUAAGGUUCUGACAUUUCUGAUUAAAAUUUUAACUGCU
Molecule: long non-coding RNA, 454 nt
Organism: Aquila chrysaetos chrysaetos
Lineage: Eukaryota; Metazoa; Chordata; Aves; Accipitriformes; Accipitridae
Exons: 3
Source: RefSeq, a predicted model, not a curated record